RNAcentral lists this ribosomal RNA (615 nucleotides) under Bacillus subtilis. Its description in RNAcentral is "bacterial SSU rRNA". It matches the Rfam family "Bacterial small subunit ribosomal RNA", at positions 72 to 666 of the family's 1533-position model. Lineage: Bacteria; Bacillati; Bacillota; Bacilli; Caryophanales; Bacillaceae. The record is from RNAcentral.
AUGGGAGCUUGCUCCCUGAUGUUAGCGGCGGACGGGUGAGUAACACGUGGGUAACCUGCCUGUAAGACUGGGAUAACUCCGGGAAACCGGGGCUAAUACCGGAUGGUUGUUUGAACCGCAUGGUUCAAACAUAAAAGGUGGCUUCGGCUACCACUUACAGAUGGACCCGCGGCGCAUUAGCUAGUUGGUGAGGUAACGGCUCACCAAGGCAACGAUGCGUAGCCGACCUGAGAGGGUGAUCGGCCACACUGGGACUGAGACACGGCCCAGACUCCUACGGGAGGCAGCAGUAGGGAAUCUUCCGCAAUGGACGAAAGUCUGACGGAGCAACGCCGCGUGAGUGAUGAAGGUUUUCGGAUCGUAAAGCUCUGUUGUUAGGGAAGAACAAGUACCGUUCGAAUAGGGCGGUAUCUUGACGGUACCUAACCACAAAGCCACGGCUAACUACAUGCCAGCACCCGCGGGUAAUACGUAUGUGGCAAGCGUUGUCCGGAAUUAUUGGGCGUAAGGGCUCGCAGGCGGCUUUCUUAAGUCUGAUGUGAUAGCCCCCGGCUCACCCGGGCCACGGGUCAUUGGUAGACUGAGGCAACUUGAGUGCAGAAUAGAGGAGUGAAA